UACGUAGGGGACAAGCGUUGUCCGGAUUUACUGGGCGUAAAGGGCGUGUAGGCGGCCAGGUAAGUCCGUUGUGAAAACUGGAGGCUUAACCUCCAGCUGUCGAUGGAAACUAUCUGGCUAGAGUCCGGAAGAGGAGAGUGGAAUUCCUGGUGUAGCGGUGAAAUGCGCAGAUAUCAGGAAGAACACCCGUGGCGAAGGCGGCGCGCUGGGACGGUACUGACGCUGAGACGCGAAAGCGUGGGGAGCGAACAGG
This 253-nucleotide ribosomal RNA is filed under the name uncultured bacterium. RNAcentral describes it as "partial 16S ribosomal RNA". It matches the Rfam family "Bacterial small subunit ribosomal RNA", at positions 524 to 776 of the family's 1533-position model. The record is from RNAcentral.